RNAcentral lists this ribosomal RNA (465 nucleotides) under Vreelandella stevensii. RNAcentral describes it as "partial 16S ribosomal RNA". It matches the Rfam family "Bacterial small subunit ribosomal RNA", at positions 338 to 795 of the family's 1533-position model. The record is from RNAcentral. Lineage: Bacteria; Pseudomonadati; Pseudomonadota; Gammaproteobacteria; Oceanospirillales; Halomonadaceae.
CCUACGGGAGGCUGCAGUGGGGAAUAUUGGACAAUGGGGGGAACCCUGAUCCAGCCAUGCCGCGUGUGUGAAGAAGGCCCUCGGGUUGUAAAGCACUUUCAGUGAGGAAGAACGCCUGGUGGUUAAUACCCAUCAGGAAAGACAUCACUCACAGAAGAAGCACCGGCUAACUCCGUGCCAGCAGCCGCGGUAAUACGGAGGGUGCGAGCGUUAAUCGGAAUUACUGGGCGUAAAGCGCGCGUAGGUGGCUUGAUAAGCCGGUUGUGAAAGCCCCGGGCUCAACCUGGGAACGGCAUCCGGAACUGUCAAGCUAGAGUGCAGGAGAGGAAGGUAGAAUUCCCGGUGUAGCGGUGAAAUGCGUAGAGAUCGGGAGGAAUACCAGUGGCGAAGGCGGCCUUCCGGACUGACACUGACACUGAGGUGCGAAAGCGUGGGUAGCAAACAGGAUUAGAUACCCGAGUAGUC